This 326-nucleotide ribosomal RNA is filed under the name uncultured bacterium. RNAcentral describes it as "bacterial SSU rRNA". It matches the Rfam family "Bacterial small subunit ribosomal RNA", at positions 30 to 352 of the family's 1533-position model. The record is from RNAcentral.
AUUGAACGCUGGCGGCAGGCCUAACACAUGCAAGUCGAGCGGUAACACAGAGAGCUUGCUCUCGGGUGACGAGCGGCGGACGGGUGAGUAAUGUCUGGGAAACUGCCUGAUGGAGGGGGAUAACUACUGGAAACGGUAGCUAAUACCGCAUAAUGUCGCAAGACCAAAGAGGGGGACCUUCGGGCCUCUUGCCAUCAGAUGUGCCCAGAUGGGAUUAGCUAGUAGGUGGGGUANNNUUUUUUCUAGGCGACGAUCCCUAGCUGGUCUGAGAGGAUGACCAGCCACACUGGAACUGAGACCCGGUCCAGACUCCUACGGGAGGCAGC